RNAcentral lists this non-coding RNA (27 nucleotides) under Mus musculus (house mouse). The record is from RNAcentral. Lineage: Eukaryota; Metazoa; Chordata; Mammalia; Rodentia; Muridae.
UCCAGAGCACUGCCACGAGUUGAGUGU